This 495-nucleotide ribosomal RNA is filed under the name uncultured bacterium. RNAcentral describes it as "partial 16S ribosomal RNA". It matches the Rfam family "Bacterial small subunit ribosomal RNA", at positions 28 to 507 of the family's 1533-position model. The record is from RNAcentral.
GACGAACGCUGGCGGCGUGCCUAAUACAUGCAAGUAGAACGCUGAAGGAGGAGCUUGCUUCUCUGGAUGAGUUGCGAACGGGUGAGUAACGCGUAGGUAACCUGCCUGGUAGCGGGGGAUAACUAUUGGAAACGAUAGCUAAUACCGCAUAAGAGUAGAUGUUGCAUGACAUUUGCUUAAAAGGUGCAAUUGCAUCACUACCAGAUGGACCUGCGUUGUAUUAGCUAGUUGGUGAGGUAACGGCUCACCAAGGCGACGAUACAUAGCCGACCUGAGAGGGUGAUCGGCCACACUGGGACUGAGACACGGCCCAGACGCCUACGGGAGGCAGCAGUAGGGAAUCUUCGGCAAUGGACGGAAGUCUGACCGAGCAACGCCGCGGGAGUGAAGAAGGUUUUCGGAUCGUAAAGCUCUGUUGUAAGAGAAGAACGAGUGUGAGAGUGGAAAGUUCACACUGUGACGGUAUCUUACCAGAAAGGGACGGCUAACUCCGUG